This 559-nucleotide long non-coding RNA is filed under the name Bos taurus (domestic cattle). RNAcentral's name for it is "long non-coding RNA NONBTAT022152". The record is from RNAcentral. Lineage: Eukaryota; Metazoa; Chordata; Mammalia; Artiodactyla; Bovidae.
UGCAACUAAAACAGUUUACUUAGUUUGUAAUGCUUUGUUUACCAUUUAAGGAGUUUCUGGAGUUUGGGGGUCCUGAUAUAAAUAGUAAAAAUCAGGGGCCUUAUUGAGUGCUUCUUAAACCCAAUUAUUUAACUCUGGUAGCUAGUUCACAUUAACGUUCACAGCUAUGAGAUUUCUGUAUUUAUAUCUUGUUACCUUGCUUCAGUUACAUUAAGCAAGACUUAAUAUUUACUGUGAUCAUGUGUCAUUGUUUCUAUUUGGCUUCUUUGGAAUCAUUUUAAAGGGGAAACUGUAUGGAUGGCAAAGAGUAAUUUGAUACUGUAUUUGAUCUUGUUGAUUAUUCCUAUUAUCUUUUAUCUGAACUGAUGUUCAUUUUGAUGACCCUGACAUAAUGACUGUUUCAGACUAAUUGUCAACGUUUAAAAUAUUGGAUUCUGCUUUUAUAUGAGGACUUCGAGUCAAAUAUCAAUUUUUAAAAAGAACUUGGGACUUUAUUUGCUAAUCUUUUUCUUAAAAUGCUGGAAAACUAGGCUGAAUAUUCCUAGCCUUUUUGAAUUUU